UAGGGAAUCUUCCGCAAUGGACGCAAGUCUGACGGAGCAACGCCGCGUGAGUGAAGAAGGAUUUCGGUUCGUAAAACUCUGUUAUUAGAGAAGAACAGCGCAUAGAGUAACUGUUAUGCGUGUGACGGUAUCUAACCAGAAAGCCACGGCUAACUACGUGCCAGCAGCCGCGGUAAUACGUAGGUGGCAAGCGUUGUCCGGAUUUAUUGGGCGUAAAGCGAGCGCAGGCGGUCAAUUAAGUCUGAUGUGAAAGCCCCCGGCUCAACCGGGGAGGGUCAUUGGAAACUGGUUGACUUGAGUGCAGAAGAGGAGAGUGGAAUUCCAUGUGUAGCGGUGAAAUGCGUAGAUAUAUGGAGGAACACCAGUGGCGAAGGCGACUCUCUGGUCUGUAACUGACGCUGAGGCUCGAAAGCGUGGGUAGCAAACAGG
This 429-nucleotide ribosomal RNA is filed under the name Bacteroidota bacterium. RNAcentral's name for it is "Bacteroidetes bacterium partial 16S ribosomal RNA". It matches the Rfam family "Bacterial small subunit ribosomal RNA", at positions 355 to 776 of the family's 1533-position model. Lineage: Bacteria; Pseudomonadati; Bacteroidota. The record is from RNAcentral.